RNAcentral lists this unclassified non-coding RNA (213 nucleotides) under plant metagenome. RNAcentral's name for it is "partial contains small subunit ribosomal RNA, internal transcribed spacer 1, and 5.8S ribosomal RNA". The record is from RNAcentral.
UUUCCGUAGGUGAACCUGCGGAAGGAUCAUUCAUAAUAAGUGUUUUAUGGCACUUUUUUAAAUCCAUAUCCACCUUGUGUGCAAUGUCAGGGUUGAUUUUUCUCUCGAGAGGAUCAACCCCAAACAUCAACUAUAUCUCAACUCUUUGCCUGGAAAAUAUUAUGAAUAAAACAAUUCAAAAUACAACUUUCAACAACGGAUCUCUUGGCUCUC